AUGAGGCGCCAGGAUUUUCUGCUAUUUUGGAAGGCCACUUGGUGGAUAAGACCACAAGAUCAUGAGUGGCACCAGGCCCCUCACCCUCUGAAUGAGACACUUCCUUAUCAUCUACAUUUUUCAGAAAUCAGAGGCCCACAACAAUUUGCUCUCUCAGGCACAACAGAAAUAUAUAACCAAACAGAAAUCUGCAAGAGAGCCAAUCUAGCUCUAACAGAAAUCCGCAAAUAUUCCAAUCUUAAAGAACCAGCAUCCAACACAUUAAGCUUCAACAAAGAAGCUCAAAUAACACAGCAACAAUCAAAACAGGAAGAUGAUAACAAGCAAAGCAUGCACUUGCCGAUUAAGAUUCAGUUUGACAAGCGAUGA
Molecule: ribosomal RNA, 369 nt
Filed under: Triticum aestivum (bread wheat)
Lineage: Eukaryota; Viridiplantae; Streptophyta; Magnoliopsida; Poales; Poaceae
Description: partial small subunit ribosomal RNA
Source: RNAcentral